AAAUUGAAGAGUUUGAUCAUGGCUCAGAUUGAACGCUGGCGGCAGGCCUAACACAUGCAAGUCGAACGGUAACAGAAAGCAGCUUGCUGCUUUGCUGACGAGUGGCGGACGGGUGAGUAAUGUCUGGGAAACUGCCUGAUGGAGGGGGAUAACUACUGGAAACGGUAGCUAAUACCGCAUAAC
This 183-nucleotide ribosomal RNA is filed under the name Escherichia coli. Its description in RNAcentral is "partial 16S ribosomal RNA". It matches the Rfam family "Bacterial small subunit ribosomal RNA", at positions 1 to 177 of the family's 1533-position model. The record is from RNAcentral. Lineage: Bacteria; Pseudomonadati; Pseudomonadota; Gammaproteobacteria; Enterobacterales; Enterobacteriaceae.